Molecule: unclassified non-coding RNA, 211 nt
Filed under: Hevea brasiliensis (rubber tree)
Lineage: Eukaryota; Viridiplantae; Streptophyta; Magnoliopsida; Malpighiales; Euphorbiaceae
Source: RNAcentral
GCGUCAAAUUAGAUUUUUGCAUGCCAAAGCAUGGACAAACAAAAACAAAAUUAAUCUAACAAAGUCCAUUUGGUAGUUUAGCCACUGGAAUACUAAUGUGGACAUCAAGCCCCCUUAUUUUCUCUAAAACUUAUGCUGAAAAAUAAUUCCAAUUGGACAUGCAUAAAGAACUAAUGACAAAUCCAUCCAACCAAUAACAGCUGCAAUAGAC